GGCCCGCUAGCUCAAUUGGCAGAGCAACGGAUUCUUAAUCCGUGUGUUCUGGGUUCGAUUCCCAGGCGGGUCA
RNAcentral lists this transfer RNA (73 nucleotides) under Chloroflexota bacterium. Its description in RNAcentral is "Chloroflexi bacterium tRNA-Lys". It matches the Rfam family "tRNA". From Rfam's summary of the family: Transfer RNA (tRNA) molecules are approximately 80 nucleotides in length. Lineage: Bacteria; Bacillati; Chloroflexota. The record is from RNAcentral.